Zea mays is the source of this 532-nucleotide long non-coding RNA. RefSeq lists it as uncharacterized. The record is from RefSeq and is a predicted model, not a curated record. Lineage: Eukaryota; Viridiplantae; Streptophyta; Magnoliopsida; Poales; Poaceae. The transcript is spliced from 2 exons.
CUGUGCCUCUCGAUUCUUCUUGAUGACUCCUUCUCUCUUAGUGACUCUUUUCACCUCCGCGCUACAGUUCUUCCUUCUCGCUCUCACUGCCUCUUCAUCGUGACAAUUUUCUUUGGCCUGCGAAGCACCGCUCCCACACAUUCCUCCUGGAAGCAUCGCGAGAGUGCGAGACACAAAUCUUUGAAAAGAAAAUAAAAGUGUUGUUGGCGCUGGUGUUUAUGAGUUCUGUUUUUGUUGCCUGGAAGAGGUGAGGCGACACUCGACAGAGAGCCAUGCUCGACGGAUAUGAGAUAACCUUGAGGAGGUGAGGCGACGCCGCGAUGGAGAUGAGGUCGCGUUGAGGAGGUGAGGCGACAAAGACGUAGUGAAAGCACAAAAGAGUUGAAGAACAUCUUUAGGACAUCCGUGUGACGCUUUGAAGAAUAACUGAUUUUUAUAAAAAAAGGUGUAUUUCCCACUCCUUUUUUAAGAAAAGGUUUGCUGCUUAUAUUACUAUUUUAUUUGCUGGAAUCAAAUGAAAAAAUAAAGUUUA